RNAcentral lists this ribosomal RNA (746 nucleotides) under uncultured bacterium. RNAcentral describes it as "bacterial SSU rRNA". It matches the Rfam family "Bacterial small subunit ribosomal RNA", at positions 33 to 773 of the family's 1533-position model. The record is from RNAcentral.
ACGCUGGCGGCAGGCCUAACACAUGCAAGUCGAGCGGUAGAGAGAAGCUUGCUUCUCUUGAGAGCGGCGGACGGGUGAGUAAUGCCUAGGAAUCUGCCUGGUAGUGGGGGAUAACGUUCGGAAACGGACGCUAAUACCGCAUACGUCCUACGGGAGAAAGCAGGGGACCUUCGGGCCUUGCGCUAUCAGAUGAGCCUAGGUCGGAUUAGCUAGUUGGUGGGGUAAUGGCUCACCAAGGCGACGAUCCGUAACUGGUCUGAGAGGAUGAUCAGUCACACUGGAACUGAGACACGGUCCAGACUCCUACGGGAGGCAGCAGUGGGGAAUAUUGGACAAUGGGCGAAAGCCUGAUCCAGCCAUGCCGCGUGUGUGAAGAAGGUCUUCGGAUUGUAAAGCACUUUAAGUUGGGAGGAAGGGUUGUAGAUUAAUACUCUGCAAUUUUGACGUUACCGACAGAAUAAGCACCGGCUAACUCUGUGCCAGCAGCCGCGGUAAUACAGAGGGUGCAAGCGUUAAUCGGAAUUACUGGGCGUAAAGCGCGCGCAGGUGGUUUGUUAAGUUGGAUGUGAAAUCCCCGGGCUCAACCCUGGGAACUGCAUUCAAAACUGACUGACUAGAGUAUGGUAGAGGGUGGUGGAAUUUCCUGUGUAGCGGUGAAAUGCGUAGAUAUAGGAAGGAACACCAGUGGCGAAGGCGACCACCUGGACUAAUACUGACACUGAGGUGCGAAAGCGCGGGGAGCAAAC